UACGAGGGGGGCGAGCGUUGUUCGGAAUUAUUGGGCGUAAAGGGCGCGUAGGCGGUGCGGUAAGUCACCUGUGAAAUCUCCUGGCUCAACUGGGAGCUUGCAGGCGAAACUGCCGUGCUGGAGUGUGGGAGAGGUGCGUGGAAUUCCUGGUGUAGCGGUGAAAUGCGUAGAUAUCAGGAGGAACACCUGUGGCGAAGGCGGCUGCCUGGGCCUGGACUGACGCUGAGGAGCGAAAGCUAGGGGAGCAAACGGG
This 253-nucleotide ribosomal RNA is filed under the name uncultured bacterium. Its description in RNAcentral is "partial 16S ribosomal RNA". It matches the Rfam family "Bacterial small subunit ribosomal RNA", at positions 524 to 776 of the family's 1533-position model. The record is from RNAcentral.